RNAcentral lists this non-coding RNA (30 nucleotides) under Mus musculus (house mouse). Lineage: Eukaryota; Metazoa; Chordata; Mammalia; Rodentia; Muridae. The record is from RNAcentral.
UNGGUGAUCUGGAUACUCAAGGACUUGGGA